UGUUCUUAUUUCAAAGGUUGCGUGCUUCC
RNAcentral lists this non-coding RNA (29 nucleotides) under Rattus norvegicus (Norway rat). The record is from RNAcentral. Lineage: Eukaryota; Metazoa; Chordata; Mammalia; Rodentia; Muridae.